RNAcentral lists this ribosomal RNA (460 nucleotides) under uncultured bacterium. RNAcentral describes it as "partial 16S ribosomal RNA". It matches the Rfam family "Bacterial small subunit ribosomal RNA", at positions 338 to 795 of the family's 1533-position model. The record is from RNAcentral.
CCUACGGGUGGCAGCAGUGAGGAAUAUUGGUCAAUGGCCGCAAGGCUGAACCAGCCAUGCCGCGUGUAGGUCAGUGCCCUUUGGGCGGUAAACUACUUUUGUGCGGGAGGAAGAAUGUUCACGUGUUGCCAUUCGCCAGUGCCGUACGAAGAAGCAGCGGCUCACUCCGUGCCAGCAGCCGCGGCAAUACGGGGGGUGCAAGCGUUAACCGGAUUUAUUGGGGUUAAAGGGUGCGUAGGCUGUGAGGUUAGUCUGCGGGGAAAUGCCCCCGCUCAACGGGGUGAAGUGCCACUGAUACUGUCUAGCUGGAGUGCGGAUGAGGUGGGAAGAAUGUGUGGUGUAGCGGUGAAAUGCAUAGAUAUCACACAGAACACCGAUUGCGAAGGCAUCUCACGGGUCCGCGAUUGACGCUGAUGCACGAAAGCGUGGGUAUCAAACAGGAUUAGAUACCCUGGUAGUC